This 377-nucleotide ribosomal RNA is filed under the name Salmonella enterica. RNAcentral's name for it is "partial 23S ribosomal RNA". It matches the Rfam family "Eukaryotic large subunit ribosomal RNA", at positions 23 to 384 of the family's 3401-position model. Lineage: Bacteria; Pseudomonadati; Pseudomonadota; Gammaproteobacteria; Enterobacterales; Enterobacteriaceae. The record is from RNAcentral.
GACCCGCUGAAUUUAAGCAUAUUAGUCAGCGGAGGAAAAGAAACUAACCAGGAUUCCCUCAGUAACGGCGAGUGAACAGGGAAGAGCCCAGCGCCGAAUCCCCGCCCCGCGGUGGGGCGCGGGACAUGUGGCGUACGGAAGACCCACUCCCCGGCGCCGCUCGUGGGGGGCCCAAGUCCUUCUGAUCGAGGCCCAGCCCGUGGACGGUGUGAGGCCGGUAGCGGCCCCCGGCGCGCCGGGCCCGGGUCUUCCCGGAGUCGGGUUGCUUGGGAAUGCAGCCCAAAGCGGGUGGUAAACUCCAUCUAAGGCUAAAUACCGGCACGAGACCGAUAGUCAACAAGUACCGUAAGGGAAAGUUGAAAAGAACUUUGAAGAGA